AAGUCCUUAGGGUGCUGCUGGCUUCUU
Molecule: ribosomal RNA, 27 nt
Filed under: Perkinsus sp.
Lineage: Eukaryota; Perkinsozoa; Perkinsida; Perkinsidae
Also listed under: 1 other name
Source: RNAcentral